This 427-nucleotide ribosomal RNA is filed under the name Parvimonas sp. oral taxon 393. RNAcentral describes it as "bacterial SSU rRNA". It matches the Rfam family "Bacterial small subunit ribosomal RNA", at positions 28 to 438 of the family's 1533-position model. The record is from RNAcentral. Lineage: Bacteria; Bacillati; Bacillota; Tissierellia; Tissierellales; Peptoniphilaceae.
GACGAACGCUGGCGGCGUGCUUAACACAUGCAAGUCGAACGUGAUUUUUGUGGAAACUCCUUCGGGAAUGGAAGUAAAAUGAAAGUGGCGAACGGGUGAGUAACACGUGAGCAACCUACCUUACACAGGGGGAUAGCCGUUGGAAACGACGAUUAAUACCGCAUGAGACCACAGAACCGCAUGGUAUAGGGGUCAAAGAUUUAUCGGUGUAAGAUGGGCUCGCGUCUGAUUAGCUAGUUGGAAGGGUAAAGGCCUACCAAGGCGACGAUCAGUAGCCGGUCUGAGAGGAUGAACGGCCACAUUGGAACUGAGACACGGUCCAAACUCCUACGGGAGGCAGCAGUGGGGAAUAUUGCACAAUGGGGGAAACCCUGAUGCAGCGACGCCGCGUGAGCGAAGAAGGUUUUCGGAUCGUAAAGCUCUGUCC